This 22-nucleotide microRNA is filed under the name Heligmosomoides polygyrus. RNAcentral describes it as "hpo-miR-36a-3p". Its record names the gene hpo-miR-36a-3p. The record is from miRBase by way of RNAcentral. Lineage: Eukaryota; Metazoa; Nematoda; Chromadorea; Rhabditida; Heligmosomidae.
UCACCGGGAGUAAAUUUACGAU